Non-coding RNA from Poecilia reticulata (guppy), 4562 nucleotides. The record is from RefSeq and is a predicted model, not a curated record. Lineage: Eukaryota; Metazoa; Chordata; Actinopteri; Cyprinodontiformes; Poeciliidae.
CUAAUGAGACGUGCAUCUGUAAUAUGAUUACCAAGUCAGCAUGGCUGUGCCACUGAACAGAGGUCUCCUUUGGCAGAGAUAUCUGCACAAGACUGCACGCUCUGCCGGUAGUCAGUCAGUCAGAUGGUCAAUGACUCAGCCGUUGCGUUUGGGGAAAGAUGGCAAAUCGGUGGCACCAAGCUGAGAGACGUCUCGCUCCAAUUAAAGGAGGGAGAAGUUUAUAACUCCUUACAAACACAAACAGCAGUAACCACAAAGCCCAACUGCUGGGAAGCAUCUUAUUAAUUGUAAUAAAUUACCAGCUUGCUUACAUAAGUAGAAUCUGGAGGAUUGUGGAUGGGCCUUUUCCACCAGCAUGCCGAAGACAGUAAUGAAGCAGAUGAAUGAAGAUAGCGGGGGUUUCUGGAUUUGCAUAGAAGAUCAGCAACAGGAAAUAAAAGGUCCUCUGCGUUGUGACCCACAGAGGAGAGACAACGUUCGUCGACAUCAACGCAGCCAGACCAUCACAGCAAAUGCAAUUUCGAGCGUGCAUUAUUCAGCGUCGUGGGUGAUUAUUUAAUCUUUGAAGCAAUCGCAGGGCAGCUGCUGUGCAUGUCGCACACGGGGCACGUGCGCAAGACUUCCAACGCUUGAGAAAAACAAGUCAGCUACUUUGAGGCAGCUCAAAUCAAACGACGAAAUACGUGGCGAAGCGAUCAUCCGACGUCAGAUAUGGCCUUGCCUUAAGUUUAUUUUAAGACGUCGGCCGUCACGCGAAGUGGCACAUUGGAGCAGGCUAUUUUUUUUUUCUACACUGGGGUCUGCAUGUUGGGAGUUUUACAUUCAUUAUGGUAAUUACCCAUGGCAGCCAGUGAUGACUCCUGCAUGCUGUGUGUCCACUGAGCUGGCAUCAUUGACGGGGCAGGGCCCACACUCUAAAUAAAUUACUACACACAGUGUUUCCCUCAUAAAUUUGUGAAUCCGUGCUACAGGCGUUCCCUGUAAGCACAUUCGUCGUGUGCAGCUUUUUCUCUUCUUCCUUCCCUUCCCUUCUUACUUUCAUUGUCCGGGGUGUUGGCCGUCAUGGUGGAGUUCUUUCUGUGGCUGCGAGUGUCAACGUCUCUCCAUCUAGACAGAGGGGCAUUAUCAGACGGAGGGAUAGACUCCUGCAUUCAGUCUUUGACUAUAAAUAACCUCCCAACACAUUGACAUUCAUGACGUGAAAUGGUAGCUUUGAGAAGAACUGGCACUUUGUGCACAGCCUGUUUUUAAUUUAAUUUCACAAAUCCAACAUCAGUGUGUCAAAGUCAGGCCGUCCUUCCUUUCUUCUUCUUGUUAGAUCGUCAUGUAAACUGAACAGUACUUAUAAAAUCUGUUUUUGUCUUAAAAAGGUUUUCUUGAAACACACAUGUGCACAUAUACAGCUUGUUUCAAUAUUUUUUUUUCUCUGUUACUUUACAGAGAAAAGUAACAGAUUAUAUUUCUAUGCAGGGCAGUUUAGUGAGACUUUUAGGCUAAGAUGUGUUUACUUAGCUUUUUUUUAAUAUAAUUGUGUUAAUAUUUUUGUUGGUAACACUUUGACUGGACCACUCCAAAAUGUCUUUUUUUUUUUUUACCAGUUAAGUCUAAGACUUUCUGCUGUUCUUUGGAUCGUUAUCCUGUUUCAUAACCCAAAGGAGUUGGGCUAAACAUUGAUGGUCUGAUAUUUUUCUUUAGGUUUUUCUCUUUAAAAAUAAAAAAAAUUAACAUCAAUCAAUCAUUGGAAAUCAUCAAGUCAAAUAACAGCGCAGCCCAUGCUAUCCCCACCAGGUAUGAUGUUUUUUUCUGGGGGGUUUUUGUUUGUUUUUCACCUAAAAAAUACAGAACAGAUUUCCUUCAAAAAGUUCCAGUUCUGUCUUGUUCGUGUCCACAAAUUAUUUUUGGAAAACGUGAGUCCAGCCUUUACGUUCUUUUUGAUCAACGGUGCUUUUUGCCUUUGAACUUACUCUUGGAUACCUGUUUUAUUCAGUCUGUUUCUCGUGGUUGAAUCAUGUACUCUGACCUUAACUGAGGAAAGUGACGCCCGUAUUGCUUUAGAUGUCGUUCUCAGUUCUUUUGUGACAUCUGAGUUGUCGAUGCGCUCAUGUUCCGUGGUUUCUUCAUUUGCACGUUGUAGCUCUCACUAUUGUUAACUGGAGUCUUGAACAGUUAAGAAUGGAUGUUUUUCGUUUCCCAAGUUGGUUUUGUUUGUUAUCUGUUCUAUGGGGCAUGCUGUGCUGCGUCUUUACAUCCUUUAGAUCUCCCAGCCACAUUGUCAGGCAAGUUCUGUUAAGGCGAUUGUGCAAGUUAGCUAGUUAUAUCAUCUGAAUGUGACCAGUUGAACUGAACUCAGCUUUACAAAAAAAUACAGUUGAUUCAAAUACCAGCCUGAGGUUUUUCUGUGUGGAGUUUGCAUGUUCUCCCUCUGCGUGCGUGGGUUGUCUCUGGGUACUCUGGCUACUUCCCCCACAGUCCAGACACAUGGCUGUUAGGUCAAAUGACCUCUUCAAAUGUCCUUGGGUAUUAGUGUGUGCAUGCAUCCUUGUUUGUCUCUGUGUUACCCUGUGAUGGAUUGGUGACCUGCCAGGAUUCACCUCACCUCUCGACCAAUGACCGCUGGAGAUAGAAACCUGGCUUCCCACUUGUUUCUGCAACGAUAAGCAGGUGUAGAUAGUGGAUUGAUGUCUGGCAAAUAACUAGUUAGCAUGGAUAUAGACUUUCUCUAAAUGUUACUAGCUGAGUAACAUUUGCAAAAUGUUACUCCAAUGAGUAGCAUUUCGUGCUUGUCAGUAGAAUGAACUUUAUUCCUCAUCAAGCUUUUUGAUUCAUAUUUCAAUUUUUUUUUAGAAAUGUUAUUUUUAUGGCACAUUUGACUUGUAUUUUCUAUUUUAAAGCAAUAAAGAACUUUUCCUUUGUGAAAAUAUAAUAUUUAAACACAAGAGAAACAGAAAUGUAGAACUUACUAGCCAGGAGGCCCUAGAAACUGUGAGCAAUUUAAUUGAACAUAAUUCAUGAAUUUCAGAAAUACUUCUAAAAUGCAUAAACCUUGUUAGUGGUGAGUUAGUAAGACAAACUAACAAAAGGUCAUGUGUUAUUUUAGAGCAAAUAAAUCCCAAAUUGACUGUUAUCUUAAACACCCGAAGGAUUGUUUUGUUCUGGCCAGCUGUCUGUAUAAGAUCUCUUGUGAAUAAAAGUAUGAUAUUCUUUCAACACAAAUGUCCUUGUAAAGGAAAAGUAUCAUUGACUCUUUCUUUUCUUUGUUAUUAUUGUGUGAAAUGAAAACUUAGCAUAAAAAAAAGCUUUUGAAAAUUAAAUCACUGCAAAUAAUAAACUUCAGUUCACCCUAGAGAAGAGCUGUUCUCCCCUGAGGCUAUUGUGUUUCCAACCAGCUUCUGCUGGAAACACAAUCUUUGCAACAGUGAGCUGUGAAAUUUGCUACCUGUAAAUCCUUCAACAUGAAAAAUUAAUAAAUGAGCUGAGAACUUAGUUUACAUCUAAAUAUGGAAUGUCAUGACAAAACUGUGUAAAAAAAGAUCAUACAACUCAAAAUGUCUUCACAAACUGAUAGUUUCACAUUACCAACAGUGAUAUAUAUGAUUUUCCUUCCUUUUUUAAUUUGACAAAAACAUUCUCAGUGCAAUGUAUUCAUUACCAAGACCCAUUUUUAUACUGCUGUUUGUUUUGAACAAAGAAAAAUGCUAGACUAUAAAUGUAUGAUUUAUAGACAGGAGUACUUUGUUCCAUCUCCUUUUCAUUUCAAAUCACUGCUUUUAUAUGAUUUUCAGAAAGGCAAGGUCAGAAUUGCUGCCACAGAUUUUCAUCUCCUCUUUUUAAGUUUUUGUAUUUUUGCCAGCUCUUUCAGAGCAGAUGACUAACGACAAAGAAAGAUCGACAAGCCGCAGCCUCAAGCGACAAGAAAAAUGUGAUUUAUCCUUGUUAUUAACCUGUACAACUUUCCUCUACACUCGUUCGGAUUCAUUGCUAAAUUUAUCGCUUUUCUCCUGCCAUUUUUCUUCGGUGCACCUUUGCGUUUUUUCUUUUUACUUUUGAUCUAUAUUCCCCAGAUUGAGGGUUGCCAUUUAUAGAAAGUAGCAAUUUUGAUAGCUUCCAGGAGUGUAUGGAGGGAAAGGAUAUGGAUUGUAAAUGACAAUUUAUUAAAAGCAGCAUGAGGUGAGUGGCCAGAAAAAACAAACAAACAAACAAAACCACUCCAACCACACACGUCAAUUAUAGUCUAUAGAUUAACAAACCAAUGGGAACCUUUUAGCUGUCCACCACAAACAUAUUGACUUUUUCCCUACAAGAACCCACAGUUUUGUGUGAAUUGAAUUUUAUGCAUUUCAUGCCUGAUCUGCACAGUUGUUUGCCCGCGGAAUGGAAGCAGCUUUGUUUUUCGUAACGAGGUAGUUUAAAAUAUGAGCAUUAUUGUUUUGGUAAUGGAGGAAUUUCAGGCACCUCCAACUGUCUGCCGCUCCCACCACUGCUUCCAGCUUUUCCUUUUUUUCCUUUUAUCUAUGCGAUAAGCUAUCAGCAAGGCAGGGCAAAGUGAGUUUGAUGAAGUCUUU